RNAcentral lists this ribosomal RNA (486 nucleotides) under uncultured bacterium. Its description in RNAcentral is "partial 16S ribosomal RNA". It matches the Rfam family "Bacterial small subunit ribosomal RNA", at positions 30 to 507 of the family's 1533-position model. The record is from RNAcentral.
AUUGAACGCUGGCGGCAUGCCUUACACAUGCAAGUCGAACGGCAGCACGGGUGCUUGCACCUGGUGGCGAGUGGCGGACGGGUGAGUAAUACAUCGGAACAUGUCCUGUAGUGGGGGAUAGCCCGUCGAAAGCCGGAUUAAUACCGCAUACGAUCUACGGAUGAAAGCGGGGGCCCUUCGGGCCUCGCGCUGUAGGGUUGGCCGAUGGCUGACUAGCUAGUUGGUGGGGUAAAGGCCUACCAAGGCGACGAUCAGUAGCUGGUCUGAGAGGACGACCAGCCAGACUGGGACUGAGACACGGCCCAGACUCCUACGGGAGGCAGCAGUGGGGAAUUUUGGACGAUGGGCGAAAGCCUGAUCCAGCAAUGCCGCGUGUGUGAAGAAGGCCUUCGGGUUGUAAAGCACUUUUGUCCGGAAAGAAAUCCUUGGCUCUAAUACAGGCGGGGGAUGACGGUACCGGAAGAAUAAGCACCGGCUAACUACGUG